Molecule: ribosomal RNA, 371 nt
Filed under: uncultured organism
Description: bacterial SSU rRNA
Rfam family: Bacterial small subunit ribosomal RNA
Source: RNAcentral
CGGGGGGGCAAGCGUUGUUCGGAAUUACUGGGCGUAAAGGGCUCGUAGGCGGCCGUCUAAGUCAGACGUGAAAUCCCUCGGCUUAACCGGGGAACGGCGUCUGAAACUGGAAGGCUUGAGUUCGGGAGAGGGAUGCGGAAUUCCAGGUGUAGCGGUGAAAUGCGUAGAUAUCUGGAGGAACACCGGUGGCGAAGGCGGCAUCCUGGACCGAGACUGACGCUGAGGAGCGAAAGCCAGGGGAGCAAACGGGAUUAGAUACCCCGGUAGUCCUGGCCCUAAACGAUGAAUGCUUGGUGUGGCGGGUAUCGAUCCCUGCCGUGCCGAAGCUAACGCAUUAAGCAUUCCGCCUGGGGAGUACGGUCGCAAGGCUG